CCCUUAACUUUGGGAUAAAGCCUGGGAAACUGGGUCUAAUACCGGAUAUGANUCCUCAUCGCAUGGUGGGGGGUGGAAAGCUUUUUGUGGUUUUGGAUGGACUCGCGGCCUAUCAGCUUGUUGGUGAGGUAAUGGCUUACCAAGGCGACGACGGGUAGCCGGCCUGAGAGGGUGACCGGCCACACUGGGACUGAGACACGGCCCAGACUCCUACGGGAGGCAGCAGUGGGGAAUAUUGCACAAUGGGCGCAAGCCUGAUGCAGCGACGCCGCGUGAGGGAUGACGGCCUUCGGGUUGUAAACCUCUUUCAGUAGGGAAGAAGCGAAAGUGACGGUACCUGCAGAAGAAGCGCCGGCUAAUUACGUGCCAGCANCCGCGGUAAUACGUAGGGCGCAAGCGUUAUCCCGGAAUUAUUGGGCGUAAAGAGNUCGUAGGCGGUUUGUCGCNUCUGCCGUGAAAGUCCGGGGCUCAACUCCGGAUCUGCGGUGGGUACGGGCAGACUAGAGUGAUGUAGGGGAGACUGGAAUUCCUGGUGUAGCGAUGAAAUGCGCAGAUAUCAGGAGGAACACCGAUGGCGAAGGCAGGUCUCUGGGCAUUAACUGACGCUGAGGAGCGAAAGCAUGGGGAGCGAACAGGAUUAGAUACCCUGGUGGUCCAUGCCGUAAACGUUGGGCACUAGGUGUGGGGGACAUUCCACGUUUUCCGCGCCGUAGCUAACGCAUUAAGUGCCCCGCCUGGC
This 739-nucleotide ribosomal RNA is filed under the name uncultured bacterium #0319-7G2. RNAcentral describes it as "bacterial SSU rRNA". It matches the Rfam family "Bacterial small subunit ribosomal RNA", at positions 129 to 877 of the family's 1533-position model. Lineage: Bacteria; Bacillati; Actinomycetota; Actinomycetes. The record is from RNAcentral.